This is a non-coding RNA of Lupinus angustifolius (narrow-leaved blue lupine), 106 nucleotides long. NCBI's taxonomy places the organism in Eukaryota, Viridiplantae, Streptophyta, Magnoliopsida, Fabales, Fabaceae. The record is from Rfam.
AACCCAUGGUUGGGACAUUUUCUCAGCAACAUCUGGAAACGCUCCAAUGCCUAAUAAAAAGCUUCAUCAUCACCUUGUCUGAAUGUUGAGAUUUCAAACUUUGCAU